RNAcentral lists this ribosomal RNA (535 nucleotides) under uncultured bacterium. RNAcentral's name for it is "bacterial SSU rRNA". It matches the Rfam family "Bacterial small subunit ribosomal RNA", at positions 972 to 1509 of the family's 1533-position model. The record is from RNAcentral.
CCCUUGGCCUUGACAUACUAAGAACUUUCCAGAGAUGGAUUGGUGCCUUCGGGAACUUAGAUACAGGUGCUGCAUGGCUGUCGUCAGCUCGUGUCGUGAGAUGUUGGGUUAAGUCCGCAACGAGCGCAACCUUUUCCUUAUUGCCAGCGGGUAAUGCCGGGAACUUUAAGGAUACUGCCAGUGACAAACUGGAGGAAGGCGGGGACGACGUCAAGUCAUCAUGGCCCUUACGGCCAGGGCUACACACGUGCUACAAUGGUCGGUACAAAGGGUUGCUACCUCGCGAGAGGAUGCUAAUCUCAAAAAGCCGAUCGUAGUCCGGAUCGCAGUCUGCAACUCGACUGCGUGAAGUCGGAAUCGCUAGUAAUCGCGGAUCAGAAUGCCGCGGUGAAUACGUUCCCGGGCCUUGUACACACCGCCCGUCACACCAUGGGAGUUUGUUGCACCAGAAGUAGGUAGUCUAACCGCAAGGAGGACGCUUACCACGGUGUGGCCGAUGACUGGGGUGAAGUCGUAACAAGGUAAGCGUAGAUGA